UUGCGCUAUAAGAUGAGCCUAGGGUCGGAUUAGCUAGUUGGUGAGGUAAUGGCUCACCAAGGCUACGAUCCGUAACUGGUCUGAGAGGAUGAUCAGUCACACUGGAACUGAGACACGGUCCAGACUCCUACGGGGAGGCAGCAGGUGGGGAAUAUUGGACAAUGGGCGAAAGCCUGAUCCAGCCAUGCCGCGUGUGUGAAGAAGGUCUUCGGAUUGUAAAGCACUUUAAGUUGGGAGGAAGGGCAUUAACCUAAUACGUUAGUGUCUUGACGUUACCGACAGAAUAAGCACCGGCUAACUCUGUG
RNAcentral lists this ribosomal RNA (305 nucleotides) under uncultured bacterium. RNAcentral describes it as "bacterial SSU rRNA". It matches the Rfam family "Bacterial small subunit ribosomal RNA", at positions 213 to 507 of the family's 1533-position model. The record is from RNAcentral.